CUGAGCGAGGGCCUCCGGGCCCGACCUCCAACCCCAUGUUAUCCGACCCUGUUGCCUCGGGGGUGACCCGGCGCCGCGCGAGCGGCCGCCCGGGGCCCCCGGCGGACCCCUCAACGCUGCAUCUUUGCGUCCGAGUCUGAUUUGAAUCAAUCA
This 153-nucleotide unclassified non-coding RNA is filed under the name uncultured Mycosphaerellaceae. RNAcentral's name for it is "sequence contains ITS1". The record is from RNAcentral. Lineage: Eukaryota; Fungi; Ascomycota; Dothideomycetes; Mycosphaerellales; Mycosphaerellaceae.